AACGAACGCUGGCGGCAGGCCUAACACAUGCAAGUCGAGCGCCCCGCAAGGGGAGCGGCGGACGGGUGAGUAACGCGUGGGAACGUACCCUUUGCUACGGAAUAGCCUCGGGAAACUGGGAGUAAUACCGUAUGUGCCCUUGGGGAAAGAUUAUCGGCAAAGGAUCGGCCCGCGUUGGAUUAGGUAGUUGGUGGGGUAAUGGCCUACCAAGCCGACGAUCCAUAGCUGGUUUGAGAGGAUGAUCAGCCACACUGGGACUGAGACACGGCCCAGACUCCUACGGGAGGCAGCAGUGGGGAAUAUUGGACAAUGGGGGAAACCCGUGAUCCAGCUACGCCGCGUGGGUGAUGAAGGCCUCGGUUGUAAGACCGUCGUCGAGGGACGGAAGGUACGUGA
This 396-nucleotide ribosomal RNA is filed under the name uncultured bacterium. RNAcentral's name for it is "bacterial SSU rRNA". It matches the Rfam family "Bacterial small subunit ribosomal RNA", at positions 29 to 458 of the family's 1533-position model. The record is from RNAcentral.